AAAGCUCGUGGUAGAGGUGCUUGUCGAUCUUUCCUCGCCAAGGAGAGGCGAGAAGAGGAGGAUAGCCAGAGUGGAGUUUUUCAGGUGGUGGUGCAUGGCCGUUCUUAGUUCGUGGGGUGACUUGUCUGCUUAACUGCGAUAACGAGCGAGACCUUACUCUGCUAAAUAGCUAGGCUAACUUUGGUUGGUCGCCGGCUUCUUAGAGAGAGUAUCAACUUAAGUUGAUAGAAGUUUGAGGCAAUAACAGGUCUGUGAUGCCCUUAGAUGUUCUGGGCCGCACGCGCGCUACACUGACAGAGCCAACGAGUUCUUUUCCUUGUUCGAAAGAAUUGGGUAAUCUUGUUAAAUUCUGUCGUGCUGAGGAGAGGAUAGCCAGAGUGGAGGAGGA
RNAcentral lists this non-coding RNA (388 nucleotides) under Alternaria alternata. RNAcentral's name for it is "Eukaryotic small subunit ribosomal RNA". It matches the Rfam family "Eukaryotic small subunit ribosomal RNA", at positions 1235 to 1609 of the family's 1831-position model. The record is from Rfam by way of RNAcentral. Lineage: Eukaryota; Fungi; Ascomycota; Dothideomycetes; Pleosporales; Pleosporaceae.